Vigna umbellata (rice bean) is the source of this 1436-nucleotide non-coding RNA. NCBI's taxonomy places the organism in Eukaryota, Viridiplantae, Streptophyta, Magnoliopsida, Fabales, Fabaceae. The record is from RefSeq and is a predicted model, not a curated record.
GAAUCCAGAUUUAUUCGAUUAGAACCCAUUGGGUCGGCUUUGAACCAAACGCGUUUAAAACCGUUCUUCAAUCUAUACCCUAUUGCCUGUUUCAGUUCAACUAUAACCCCACCCACCACUUGUGUCGUAGCACUCUUAACUGAAACCAGGUUUCUGGGAAGAGAGAAAUGGCCCUGAGGCAUCGUCUUACGAAGGAACUCUCGAAAUUUCUCUCUCCCGUUACUCAAGCAGGUGUCUGUUGUCCUCAAUCUAGCAAAGCUUUAAACUUAGUGGCUUGUCUGUGAUGCUGGUGCCUUCUGCUCGGAACCCAGCUGCUAAUUGGAAUCAAGUGAGAGAGUUUCAUGAACACAGGAUCUCAACAAUGGCUGUUAAAUUGCAUGAACCUGCCACUGAAAUUGAUCUUUUAUCUUCAUUAAGGCUUCACUGGAUGAAUUUGAAGGCACCCAUCAUUAUUGGUUAAAUAGAUCUGAAAAAAUUGACCAACUUUUUGGAGCCGAUGGGAUAUUUUUAGUUCUAGCUGCAAGUAAUUUCAAUUGUGACAUUACGCUUAAAAAAUUAAAGACAAUUCAAAAGAGGUUUCCUCAUAUUAACAUUAUUGGUUUGGGAGCAAUUCACUCUUCUUCUGAUCAAGUGCACCUAAUGCAGUUACUGAUGGAAGAAAAUAUAGCAUUCCCCAUUUUGUUGUCUCAGCAGACAUUUCCUAAGGAAGUAGUAAAUGUAUCACCCAACACAUCUGAGAAGUGGCACCCGACUUCAUCGUUGCAGAUGUGGGGGAUUCUUCUUCCAACUCCAUUUCCAUCCUACUUAUUAAAACUAGAUCAUUGUAGGUCUGUAGCAUGUUACUGUAUAUUAAUUAUGUGUUUGUCGUCAUCGUGCAGUGGUGGCAGAUUCUUCUUCCAACACCAUCUCCAUCCUACCCACUAAAACUAGAUGAUUGUAGGUGUGUCGCAUCUUACUACAUAUCAGUUAUGAGUCUAUGAUUAUCGUGUCUUUACAGAUGAAGUCAUAAACUAUAGGCUAAGGUUGCUGAUUGUUUUUAUUCUAAUGAUUCUUGUCAAACAGGCAUUCUUUUGUGAUUUACAAUCCUUAGGAACCAAUGUCAUAAGUUCCCCAAGGCUUCAUUCCAUAGGGUACUAGUUCACGGACUGAUGGGUUAGAGUGGUAUGCAGAGAACUUGCUAACUUGAUAUUUAUUUAUGUGCGAAAAUACAUAAUUUGCUCUUAUUCACUAUACAGUGACAGUGAGGAUGGAGGCUGAAUACAUGCAGAGCUGGAAAGAAUGCUUGUUUGUUGAGUGGCUCCUCCUACUGUCCUACAACUUUGGGGAUUUAGAAACUCAUCUGUGAUAGAGAAAGGUGCGGGCUACAUGUUGUUUAAAAAUUUUAGGAGCCCAGUAAUUUAUCAUGAGAAGGAUGCAAGUCUUGAAAUUUUAAGCCA